Molecule: ribosomal RNA, 253 nt
Filed under: uncultured bacterium
Lineage: Bacteria
Description: partial 16S ribosomal RNA
Rfam family: Bacterial small subunit ribosomal RNA
Source: RNAcentral
GACAGAGGUGCCGAGCGUUAGGCGGAAUCACUGGGCUUAAAGCGUGUGUAGGCGGACUUCUAAGUACCUUGUGAAAUCCCACGGCUCAACCGUGGAACUGCUUGGUAUACUGGUUGUCUUGAGCCACUUAGGGGCAGUCGGAACAGACGGUGGAGCGGUGAAAUGCGUAGAUAUCGUCUGGAACGCCAAAGGUGAAGACAGUCUGCUGGGGACUUGCUGACGCUGAGACACGAAAGCCAGGGGAGCGAACGGG